AAUAACUGCUCACACAGGUGACACAAAAUAAUGCAAAUAUUUUCAUUUAGUUCCACAGCUGCUGUUCGUGCUUUGAUAUUGAAAAGAAACGAACAAGCCAAGAAGGAAGUGAAAGAAGAAUUCAGCAAACUAAAGGAGGUUAAGAAACAUUUCAGUGAUGAAAGUUUCAAAGUGCUCACAGUGAGCUCUGACGAGUUUCUAGAAAAAACCUAUCUAGAUCGAGACGACACUGAAAUACCCAUACUUCAGGAAUUUCUGCAGGAUCUCAAUGACUGUCACUCAGAGACGUUAAACUAUGUGUCUGGAGCUCGUGGGAUUCUC
Molecule: long non-coding RNA, 321 nt
Organism: Anarrhichthys ocellatus (wolf-eel)
Lineage: Eukaryota; Metazoa; Chordata; Actinopteri; Perciformes; Anarhichadidae
Exons: 3
Source: RefSeq, a predicted model, not a curated record